CCUCCGAUUCUUGCAUUCUAUCCCAAGUCGAUUUUGUAGCAUUCAACUACAUUGCAAUGGCGAAGCUUAAAGUUGUUAACAUUGUUUUCUUUCUGUUGUUGGGUAUAGGAAUAUGUUCAGCUGCUAGAACACUCCUCACUUAUGAUCAUGUAGGUGUUGGGGGUGAGGUAGGCGCCUAUGGUGCAGGCCAUGGCAUUGGUGGUGGUGCUGGUGGUGGUGUUGCUGCUGGAGGCUAUGCUGGUGGUGGUGGAGGAGGUUCCGGUGGAGGUGGUGGAUAUGGAGCUGCAGGUGACCAUGGUUAUGCCAGCGGAGGUGGCAGUGGAGGCGGAGCCGGUGGUGGUUCUGGCUAUGCAGCUGGAGGAGAGCAUGGUGCUGGAUAUGCUGGAGGAGGUGGUGGUGGAAGUGGAGCAGGAGGUGGCUAUGCUGGUGGAGGACACGAUGCUGGACAUGCAAGUGGUGGUGGUGAAGGUGGUGGUAGCGGAUAUGGUGCUGGAGGAGCACCUGGUGGUGGUUAUGGUGCUGGAGGUGGUGGAGGCAGUGGUGGCGGCGGAGCAGCUGCAGGUGGAGCACAUGGUGGUGGAUAUGCUGAAGGCGCAGGAGGAGGCAGUGGUGGCGGCUAUGGUGCUGGUGGGGCACCAGGAGGUGGAUAUGGUGGUGGAGGUGGGCAU
This 668-nucleotide long non-coding RNA is filed under the name Nicotiana tabacum (common tobacco). Its description in RNAcentral is "long non-coding RNA (NTAB_LNC018991)". Lineage: Eukaryota; Viridiplantae; Streptophyta; Magnoliopsida; Solanales; Solanaceae. The record is from RNAcentral.